This 434-nucleotide ribosomal RNA is filed under the name uncultured Lachnospiraceae bacterium. RNAcentral's name for it is "partial 16S ribosomal RNA". It matches the Rfam family "Bacterial small subunit ribosomal RNA", at positions 341 to 792 of the family's 1533-position model. Lineage: Bacteria; Bacillati; Bacillota; Clostridia; Lachnospirales; Lachnospiraceae. The record is from RNAcentral.
ACGGAAGGCAGCAGUGGGGAAUAUUGCACAAUGGGGGAAACCCUGAUGCAGCGACGCCGCGUGAGUGAAGAAGUAUUUCGGUAUGUAAAGCUCUAUCAGCAGGAAAGAAAAUGACGGUACCUGACUAUGAAGCCCCGGCUAACUACGUGCCAGCAGCCGCGGUAAUACGUAGGGGGCAAGCGUUAUCCGGAUUUACUGGGUGUAAAGGGAGCGUAGACGGCUUUGCAAGUCUGAAGUGAAAGCCCGGGGCUCAACCCCGGAACUGCUUUGGAAACUGUAGAGCUAGAGUGCAGGAGAGGUAAGUGGAAUUCCUAGUGUAGCGGUGAAAUGCGUAGAUAUUAGGAGGAACACCAGUGGCGAAGGCGGCUUACUGGACUGUAACUGACGUUGAGGCUCGAAGGCGUGGGGAGCAAACAGGAUUAGAUACCCUGGUA